UUUAGACUUCUUCGAUGAUAGCAAAAAUACAAGAGAAUGAAGAAGCAACCUUAAUUUUUUCCUCCUGUGCAUUUCACAAGCAUCUUUUUUUCCUAACAUAUCUUGGUGACAGAAAUCCCUUGCAGUACACAUGGUACAGGGAUUUACUGUGAUACAGUUUUACCAAAUACCAGAGUAUUUAGGAGACUGUAUGUGCAGUAAAUGGAACCUAAGUAUUUGUAUUAUGUAGCAGAUGUUAAAAAUAAGACAGUCUGUCUCCUUCUGGCUGUGAUGUUUGCCUUCCCAGCAAAAAGCCUGGCUACCUUUGAGCUGCCACACAGACCACAGGGAGCAGUGGCAGUCUGCACUGACUGUGCUGUGCUGGCACCUGGCAUGGCCAACAAGGACCAGGGUUUAGAAGGGUUUGGCCAAUGUCUUGGGACUGGUGUUUUAAAAUAAUUUGACUUUAAUGUAUAUAUCUCACUCGGGGCCUGGAUUUUCAGAAGAGCUUUGCUACUGGCUUCUGGGCUGUUUGGAAGUGCAGGUGCUUCCUUUGGGUGCCUAUGCUGGAGCAGACAGAGGCAGGCCUGUGGAGAGCUGCAGUCCAUGCAGGGAUCUCUGUCCCGAGGGAACUUCCAAAGCGGCAGUCCCAGCCAGGAUGGGAGACACAUGUGACUGCUGCUGUGUGUCCUGUUGGCUGAGCCUUCCUUGGACACCACUCAGAAAUGCCAGAGGCUGUCAGAAAGAAGCAGAGCACUCAAAAUACAUUUAGGGUGGAAGAUCUACCCUGAGUGAAGGUCACAGGACUUUUCUGCUAAUUGAAGGAAGAUGAGGCCUCUUCUGAUGAAGAAUCAACAGUCAUUACUGAAAACUUUAAAUAAGUCUUUGAAUAAAGAGUAGUAUGUCUGCAGCUACAAGCUAGUUCAUCUGUCUACACACCAUACUCGUGUUCAUAUGUAAAAUGGUGAAAAAUGUGUUUGUAAGGACACUUGUAGGCUGUACAAUGCUGUGCUGAAGCUUUUAUUGCAUUGAUUCAAAUACUUUCUGCAGUUUAUGUAAAGUAAUCUUUCUGUAUCUCGUGGAAUUUGCAUCCUGGGAGUGAUUGAUACUCUGAGUGAGAUGAAGCCGACUUCCAUUCCCUACCACACAGUGCUUCAGGUGUGCAUCCCUUUGAAUGCAUCUCACCUGCUUUCCAUACUACCUUCCUGCUGUUUCCUUUCUGCCUAAAUACAGGAAAUGUAACUCCCAACAGCUCACUAGGCAUCUCUUCUCCACAGACACUGUGUGAGUAACCUUUGUUAUGAGUUUCUUUCUUGGUGGUGGUGGGAGACCAGGCAAAGUAGGGACUUGGCUGGUGCUGGGUGUGUAAAUGCACUGGCCCCUGCUGAACAGAAUUUGUGGCAAGUUGUGAGAAGCUAGGAAGCCACUGAGAAGGGAAAGAUCUAAUUGACUCACCUCUUUCUUUUGUGUUGAGAAUCAAAAUUAGGCUUCUAAAAUGACUUUUUCAUAGUCCUCUAGACCUGUGUAAUUAGCUCUCUAGCUUAUGUGUGAACAGUAUUUUCUUCUCUCGGCUUUUACUUUCAUAGGUUAUUAUCUGAUGGUGUGCACAUCUUUAGAGUCCACCUUUUUGUAAAGGAAUCUACCAGUGUCUGACUGCCCAUUUGUCCUGAUGACAAGGAAAUUUGGCACAGCUCUCCAAAAUAAUCUUUGCAGCACAGAAACUUGAAGUGUGGAAGUGAUUGUGGUGAGUUACAUGCAUACAGGAUGACAGCAAGCUGAUUUUCCAAAUUGCUCUGCUUUGUCACUGUUAACUCCCGGCAUCAGGCCAUCUAGAUACUCUGUUCCUGAGGCAUGUUCUGCCAGUUCCAGAGCUGUCCCUCCAACUAUAUCACCUUCCUGAAGGUCACUUGUGCUUCUACAACAACAUGGGGUGUCCCUGACUGCCGGACUCAGCAUCCCUCUCUGCCUCUCACCUUGCUUCAGCUCUGUGUGAAAAUCUCUGCUGCUGCAACCUCGGGAUCACCAGAAAAGCAACAUCCCUUAAAAAGGAGUGCUCAUACUUAGAAGGAGCUUUAUUGCAUUUUAAUUACUGGAUUCCAAAACCUAUAAAUAUACCCUAAUGCUAAAAUAAAAUGUGAACUUUUAAACUUGA
Molecule: long non-coding RNA, 2131 nt
Organism: Catharus ustulatus (Swainson's thrush)
Lineage: Eukaryota; Metazoa; Chordata; Aves; Passeriformes; Turdidae
Exons: 4
Source: RefSeq, a predicted model, not a curated record